Molecule: ribosomal RNA, 497 nt
Filed under: uncultured bacterium
Lineage: Bacteria
Description: partial 16S ribosomal RNA
Rfam family: Bacterial small subunit ribosomal RNA
Source: RNAcentral
GAUGAACGCUGGCGGCGUGCCUAAUACAUGCAAGUCGAGCGAACGGACGAGAAUCUUGCUUCUCUGAUGUUAGCGGCGGACGGGUGAGUAACACGUGGAUAACCUACCUAUAAGACUGGGAUAACUUCGGGAAACCGGAGCUAAUACCGGAUGAUAUUUUGAACCGCAUUGUUCAAAAGUGAAAGACGGUCUUGCUGUCACUUAUAGAUGGAUCCGCGCUGCAUUAGCUAGUUGUUAAGGUAACGGCUUACCAAGGCAACGAUGCAUAGCCGACCUGAGAGGGGGGUAGGCCACAUUGGAACUGGAACGCGGACAAGAAGCCUAAGGGAGGGAGCAGAAGGGAAUGUUAGGCAAUGGGCGAAAGCAUGACGGAGCAAGGGCGCGUGAGUGAUAGAGGUCUUCGGAUCGUAAAAAUCUGUUAUGAGGGAAGAACAUAUGUGGAAGGAACUGAGGACAGAGUGACGGUACCUGAUCAGAAAGCAACGGCUAACUACGUG